Molecule: long non-coding RNA, 201 nt
Filed under: Physcomitrium patens
Lineage: Eukaryota; Viridiplantae; Streptophyta; Bryopsida; Funariales; Funariaceae
Description: long non-coding RNA (PPAT_LNC003484)
Source: RNAcentral
GCAUAUCAAUAGUUAUUAUAUGGUCCAAGGUCAAUUUUUGUGGUCAUACUGGGUAUUGUGUUGAGGCUAUUACAAGCUACCCUUAAUAAGUCAAUUGAGAGGUGAAAAGAUAUUAUAAUAGUGGAAUCCAACAAAGAACUUAUAGUAUGGGAGAUAUGACUGAGCAAUCUUAGAUAGAGACUCAAAUACAAUACUUCUUAA